This 1203-nucleotide long non-coding RNA is filed under the name Gossypium raimondii (Peruvian cotton). Its description in RNAcentral is "long non-coding RNA (GRAI_LNC000015)". The record is from RNAcentral. Lineage: Eukaryota; Viridiplantae; Streptophyta; Magnoliopsida; Malvales; Malvaceae.
CUAAUGUCAUGCACGAGUCAUUGUCCGAGAAAGGAAAGGAGAAAGUGGACAAGAAGUGACUCGAGAGAAAUUCCGGUUAGUAUUACCAUAAUUCGAAUUUAAUUAUUAAUUGUUAAAAUUUAAAUUAAUAUACAUGAUAAGCAAAUUGAGGUAAGCAUCACGACUGAAUUGAAUGAUAAAUACGUAUUGGUAUUGAAUUUAUUAAUAGUAAUUAUUGAAUUUUGAAUAAUAUGUUUAGUAUUAAAAAAAAUAGAUGAAUAUUGAUAUUGAAUUGUACAUGAAUUCGAUUGGAAAAUGAAUUAAAAAUAUAUAUAUGAAUGGAAUAAAAGUGAAUUAAAUUGUGAAUAAGUGUGAUAUAUGUGAAUGGUGGAAUAAGUAGUAAAUUGUAAUGACGGAGAAAUGAUAAAUCCUUUUUGAAAUAAUUUUGUAAAGUAUUUAAAUAAAUGAGAUUCAGAUUUAAUGCCCAAGUAGAUGGAAUUUAGAACUACCAGGAUAUUAGUGGCAUGCCAUUAAGGAACUUAUUAAGGAACUUUAGCGCGCUCUCUGAUAUUAGCACAUUGGUGCUCUCUGAUAUUAGCACGUUGUUGCUCUCUGAUUAUUAGCACGUUGGUGCUCUCUGAUUAUUAUCACGUUGGUGCUCUCUGAUAUUUAGCACGGCAGUGCUCUCUGUUUAGCACAUUUGUGCUCUCUGUAUUUGUUCCGUAUAUCCGGGGUGUUCUGUAAAGUCUACUUUGGGCUAAGAUUAUAAGCUGUGGACAAAAGUGAAUCAUUAAUGUGUUAAGGUAAGUCUUAUAAAGUUUAUAUGUACCGUUUUAGGCAUAAUGUGCCGUAUUGGUGUGUUUUGGUUGGAUCCGUGUAUCCGCCAAGAUCUGAGUCAAGUUAAUAGGGGUAAAUGAAUAAUUUUGAUAAUAUAAAUUUUUAUUGAAUGAUCUUGAAUAUGAAUUGAAAUAGCUAUUGUUAAGAAGUGAGAAGUGAAAAUAAAAUAAUUUGAAAGAGUGAAAUAAUAUGUGAAUUUAACUGAAUACAAGUUAUUGAAAUUUAGUUAUGGAUUUAAUGAAUAAAUUGAGUGUUAAAAGAUUUACAGUACAUAUUGGUUAUAAAUAGAAAUGAUAAUGAAUGAGUUGAUAAAUUGAUUAAAUUUGUAUGAAUUGGAAUGAAUUAUUAGAAUGAGAUGUCGAAAAAUCCAAUAGAAUUGAGAUAGUG